GUGGGGAAUAUUGGACAAUGGGCGAAAGCCUGAUCCAGCCAUGCCGCGUGUGUGAAGAAGGUCUUCGGAUUGUAAAGCACUUUAAGUUGGGAGGAAGGGCAGUAAGUUAAUACCUUGCUGUUUUGACGUUACCGACAGAAUAAGCACCGGCUAACUUCGUGCCAGCAGCCGCGGUAAUACGAAGGGUGCAAGCGUUAAUCGGAAUUACUGGGCGUACAGCGCGCGUAGGUGGUUUUGUAAGUUGGAGGUGACAUCCCCGGGCUCAACCUGGGAACUGCCUCCAAAACUGCAUGACUAGAGUACGGUAGAGGGUAGUGGAAUUUCCUGUGUAGCGGUGAAAUGCGUAGAUAUAGGAAGGAACACCAGUGGCGAAGGCGACUACCUGGACUGAUACUGACACUGAGGUGCGAAAGCGUGGGGAGCAAACAGGAUUAGAUACCCUAGUAGUCC
This 450-nucleotide ribosomal RNA is filed under the name uncultured bacterium. RNAcentral's name for it is "bacterial SSU rRNA". It matches the Rfam family "Bacterial small subunit ribosomal RNA", at positions 354 to 796 of the family's 1533-position model. The record is from RNAcentral.